GGAUCCAGACUUUGAUCAUGGCUCAGGAUGAACGCUAGCUACAGGCUUAACACAUGCAAGUCGAGGGGAAACGACAUCGAAAGCUUGCUUUUGAUGGGCGUCGACCGGCGCACGGGUGAGUAACGCGUAUCAACCUGCCCACCACUUGGGGAUAACCUUGCGAAAGUAAGACUAAUACCCAAUGACGUCUCUAGAAGACAUCUGAAGGAGAUUAAAGAUUUAUCGGUGAUGGAUGGGGAUGCGUCUGAUUAGCUUGUUGGCGGGGUAACGGCCCACCAAGGCGACGAUCAGUAGGGGUUCUGAGAGGAAGGUCCCCCACAUUGGAACUGAGACACGGUCCAAACUCCUACGGGAGGCAGCAGUGAGGAAUAUUGGUCAAUGGGCGAGAGCCUGAACCAGCCAAGUAGCGUGCAGGAUGACGGCCCUAUGGGUUGUAAACUGCUUUUAUAAGGGAAUAAAGUGAGUCUCGUGAGACUUUUUGCAUGUACCUUAUGAAUAAGGACCGGCUAAUUCCGUGCCAGCAGCCGCGGUAAUACGGAAGGUCCGGGCGUUAUCCGGAUUUAUUGGGUUUAAAGGGAGCGUAGGCCGGAGAUUUAGCGUGUUGUGAAAUGUAGACGCUCAACGUCUGCACUGCAGCGCGAACUGGUUUCCUUGAGUACGCACAAAGUGGGCGGAAUUCGUGGUGUAGCGGUGAAAUGCUUAGAUAUCACGAAGAACUCCGAUUGCGAAGGCAGCUCACUGGAGCGCAACUGACGCUGAAGCUCGAAAGUGCGGGUAUCGAACAGGAUUAGAUACCCUGGUAGUCCGCACGGUAAACGAUGGAUGCCCGCUGUUGGUCUGAAUAGGUCAGCGGCCAAGCGAAAGCAUUAAGCAUCCCACCUGGGGAGUACGCCGGCAACGGUGCAAA
Molecule: ribosomal RNA, 907 nt
Filed under: uncultured Bacteroidota bacterium
Lineage: Bacteria; Pseudomonadati; Bacteroidota
Description: bacterial SSU rRNA
Rfam family: Bacterial small subunit ribosomal RNA
Source: RNAcentral